AGCCGCACUCGUAUAGAUGCGAUAAAUGAGAAUAGCGGAAUUCCUGGCCCUGUUGUAUCACCAUGUGAACUUUGAAAAUGGAUCCGCGAAUGAAAAUUUUGGAAAGUAUUCAAGAACCGUUACGGAAAGUAGAAAAAUACCGUGUUUCGCUGAUCGUACAAACUAUAUACGAAGAGAACUCUCUCGAAUACAUACAGUUCGAAGUGAUGUCAACGAAGAAGACGAACGUGUGAAUUGUAACCAGAGAAAGUCGAUCAAAUUUUAGAGAAUUUUGCAAAUUUUUACCCAAAAUUGUAAAUAGAACUAACUGUAUAGGUAAGUUGUUAAGACUGUGAUGAUUUAAACACAUUCUUCACUGUUUUUUUGGGAGGGGAGCUUCCUC
Molecule: long non-coding RNA, 382 nt
Organism: Planococcus citri (citrus mealybug)
Lineage: Eukaryota; Metazoa; Arthropoda; Insecta; Hemiptera; Pseudococcidae
Exons: 3
Source: RefSeq, a predicted model, not a curated record